GGGGGGGGGGGGGCAAGGCGUUGUUCGAAUUUACUGGGCGUAAAGGGCUCGUAGGCGGCCAACUAAGUCGAUUGUGGGAAUCCCUCGGGCUCAACCGGGGAACUGCGACCGAUACUGGAUGGCUUGAAGCCCGGGAGAGGGAUGCGGAAUUCCAGGUGUAGCGGUGAAAUGCGUAGAUAUCUGGAGGAACACCCGUGGCGAAGGCGGCAUCCUGGACCGGUCUUGACGCUGAGGAGCGAAAGCUAGGGUAGCAAACGGGAUUAGAUACCCCGGUAGUCCUAGCUGUAAACGAUGAAUGCUUGGUGUGGCGGGUAUCGAUCCCUGCCGUGCCGUAGCUAACGCGUUAAGCAUUCCGCCUGGGGAGUACGGUCGCAAGGCUG
This 380-nucleotide ribosomal RNA is filed under the name uncultured organism. Its description in RNAcentral is "partial 16S ribosomal RNA". It matches the Rfam family "Bacterial small subunit ribosomal RNA", at positions 517 to 896 of the family's 1533-position model. The record is from RNAcentral.